GUUGGGGUAAGUCCCGCAACGAGCGCAACCCUUGAUCUUAGUUGCCAGCAUUCAGUUGGGCACUCUAAGGUGACUGCCGGUGACAAACCGGAGGAAGGUGGGGAUGACGUCAAAUCAUCAUGCCCCUUAUGACCUGGGCUACACACGUGCUACAAUGGACAGAACAAAGGGCAGCGAAACCGCGAGGUUAAGCCAAUCCCACAAAUCUGUUCUCAGUUCGGAUCGCAGUCUGCAACUCGACUGCGUGAAGCUGGAAUCGCUAGUAAUCGCGGAUCAGCAUGCCGCGGUGAAUACGUUCCCGGGCCUUGUACACACCGCCCGU
This 322-nucleotide ribosomal RNA is filed under the name uncultured Bacillus sp. RNAcentral describes it as "bacterial SSU rRNA". It matches the Rfam family "Bacterial small subunit ribosomal RNA", at positions 1074 to 1397 of the family's 1533-position model. Lineage: Bacteria; Bacillati; Bacillota; Bacilli; Caryophanales; Bacillaceae. The record is from RNAcentral.